Molecule: long non-coding RNA, 2905 nt
Organism: Poecile atricapillus (Black-capped chickadee)
Lineage: Eukaryota; Metazoa; Chordata; Aves; Passeriformes; Paridae
Exons: 3
Source: RefSeq, a predicted model, not a curated record
GAAGUUUCAAGCCUUCAUUGUGAAGCUUUAAAAUCAUAAUAAACUGUAAUUAUUUUUAUAUUUACAUUUACACUUGAUUUUCUAUUCUCCAGAAAUAUGCAUUGUGUUUGUAAUAAGCUAAUACAAAAUGACUGGGAUUUAACAUACUUGUUUUUCAUUAAUUUAAACAGUUCCCUCUCUAGUGGUUCCUCUAGUCUGCAGUAUCAGUUUAAUGACUUCUUUCUUACUUCUGCAACACUUCUUCAAGUAUAUAGAAAACCUGAUGCAUAUUCAAAUGUUUAAAACUUUUUCUUUAUAUAGGUGUACGACACCUUGAAAUUAUGUGCUGCUUUGGCUGUAUGUCUGUUCUUGCCAACUACUUUGCCUUUAUGACCUUCUUUCCAGCCUGAGUCUCCUUGGUAUUAGAGAAUGUCUUGUAUGGAUAUUGAACAAGUAAUUUCUCUUGGAUUACCCCUUCUCUUUGAUGUGAAAUAUAUUUUCUUUGAGAAAGCAGAAACUGAAUCCACACUCUUGUUGAAGAAUCUCAACAUGUCCAGUGAUGGUCCAGUGUGGUAGUUUGGCAUUUAGGAAAAAAAAACGGGAAACACCCACGGAAGUGACUCCUUUGAGAGAGGCUGCUGGGAGUUUCUUCUCUGCUUGAGACCUCGCCAAUAGCUAGCCAGUUCUCAGAACUGAAAGCAUUUUGGACCACUGAAAAGUAAGAUCACCUUUGUGAAUACCACCUUUUAAACCUGAGCCCGGGAACCGCUUGUUUCUUUGUUUCUGGCCUUGAAAGUUUUAAGCCUGUUUUGCCCUUCUAAUCCAUAUCUCACAGCAAGAGAUGAGUCGGUACUCUGGUGAUUUUUAGCUAGUGCUAAAACCAUUACAUCCGGAAAAACAUCCCUGAGAACUGUUGCAGGAAGAAGUCUGGACUUUGGGAAAACAUUCAGAAAUCUAACACAGUAGAAGAAGCUUUAGUUCCCAAAGAUGGAAAUGGUAAUUUUUGGCAUUUUAGUCUGAACAUAUUCCUGAAUAUAUGGAACAAAUGGUAAAAUCUGUAUUAGCAUGUUGUAUUUGCAAUCAAAAUUUAAGAUUUUUGUAAACCAAAGUGAAUUUGAAUUGUCUUUAUGCAGCUGAUGACAUAAAACCUGAAUUAGCAGAGUCAUCAACCAAGGCUACAUUUGUAACUGGAAGUUGCAACCCUGUGGAGACUUCUUUAUUUCUUAAUAGAAACGAAGAAAUAGUUGAGUUGCCUCAAGAAUCAUGUUCUAUUGUGGAAUGUGUUUGUAUACUCGGAAAUGCAGAGGCAUGUAACUUUUUGUUUAACCUCUACUGCAACAUCUGAUUGAAAAAUUAUUGCAGUUAAUUUUCCAGCUUUUAAAUGAUCCUAUUGACUAUAAUGUCAUUCUUCAGAGAAUUAUAUGGCUUUAAUAACUUGUGUUGGAGUCUGGAAUACAGUGUGUGUGCCCUCGUUUCUGAUACUUCGUUAUAAGAUUCAGAAAAACACUGAAUUUCAUAUAAUAUGAAAUUCAUGAGCAUGUUUUCAUGGUGAUACAUGAAAAAAAAUGUUAAAGUUAGAUGAAAAAAGCUAAGUGUGUGUAGAUUAGAAAGUUUUUUUAAAUCACUGGGUGAAAAAGUUGGUUUAGAGAACAGGAGACAAGAUGGAGGAUUUAGGGUGUUGUCUCUUGUCCCUUCUUAUUUCUUCUUCAUGUUCUUCUCCUAGAGGUUUUUGGGUAGUAGUAAGUGAUUGGGCAGAGAAUGCCACAGUGCAGCACACAGGUGAUGGGUCAUUGGGUCAUUAAGAAAAAUAGUAUACGUGUCUAUUUUUAAUUGGGUAAAAAUAGGUAUAAAGAUAAAAGAACUGCGUAUUUCGGGGCCAUUUUGUGCAUCAGACACGAAGUGUGCCACAAGGCCUUGUUUGUACCAUCAGAAGAAAGAAAUGUACCAGAUUGCAAAGAUUAACCUUGUGUAGCCAGCCUGGAGAGACCUGUUAAGUUUUGUGAUGACCUUUUAAUAAACACAAGAAACAAGAUUCUAACGAGCUCGAGAGUUUUCUUUGAAUCAUAAGAACUGAGAUAAGCAGGGCUCCCCACGAGGGAGGAUCCCAAAAGAAUUCAGUCCAAAGGAGGCUGAGAAUCCAAGAAUAAAAAGAAAAAUACAGAAGAGAUGCAGCAGAAACAGAGACACAGAAAAAGGAUUUUUUAGAGAAAAGUUACAACUCGGGGGACACACAAAAAAUUGCUCUUUCAUAAGUUGCUGCCUUGAUUUAAAAGAUAGAUGUCUGCCAAGGAAGGCAGGAACCAUUAUGAAAUGGAAAAUAUGACCCCUUCACUCCAAAUUAUUAUAACUUUGAAAUUACAGGGGUCUCAGGCAAAGAUAUGGGAAAUAGAACAGUUCUUUACUACAAUGUAUGUCGUGUUGCACUAUGUUAGGAUGAGUGGUUUUACCUAGUUGCUCCCCCCUUUGGUCUGUGGUGUGUUGGUUUCUUCCCCCUCGCCGCUCCCCUUCGGUUUCACCCCAUUGGUUGUAACCUGCCUUCCCCUCCCCUUUUUCCCUCAGUUUAAAAAUCUUCGUGAUUGCUGCCUCUCUCUCUCUUUUUCCCUGGAGUUUGUUCUGGAAUAAGCUGAGGGACAGUGUCCCAUGAAGAGAGACCCUCCUUGUCUUUUACCAUUUUCCUUGCCAAAUCCCCCUCCCACCCCCAGGUGGAUUGGAGCUAGUCGGAAGAUUUUCUGGGGCUGGGAGCUAAGGGAUUUUGGCAGUCUGGCAAGUGUGAGCUUGUCUUAAGGACAGAGAUCCCACGCAGCAACUGGAAAUCCGCAUGUGGAUUCUACAAGCUUUGGACUGUCAACUGCCUUGGGGCUACGAGUUGCUUUUUGCACAGCGAAACCUACAAGGGUGGGACCGACAGGUCCCUCAGGCUGGGGAG